Molecule: ribosomal RNA, 256 nt
Filed under: Rubrivivax sp.
Lineage: Bacteria; Pseudomonadati; Pseudomonadota; Betaproteobacteria; Burkholderiales; Sphaerotilaceae
Description: partial 16S ribosomal RNA
Rfam family: Bacterial small subunit ribosomal RNA
Source: RNAcentral
GAACUGAAGAGUUUGAUCCUGGCUCAGAUUGAACGCUGGCGGCAUGCCUUACACAUGCAAGUCGAACGGUAACGCGGGGCAACCUGGCGACGAGUGGCGAACGGGUGAGUAAUAUAUCGGAACGUGCCCAGUAGUGGGGGAUAGCCCGGCGAAAGCCGGAUUAAUACCGCAUACGACCUAAGGGUGAAAGCGGGGGAUCGCAAGACCUCGCGCUAUUGGAGCGGCCGAUAUCAGAUUAGGUAGUUGGUGGGGUAAA